CUCGGGGUUACAGCCUUGCUGAAUUAUUCACCCUUGUCUUUUGCGUACUUCUUGUUUCCUUGGUGGGUUCGCCCACCACUAGGACAAACAUAAACCUUUUGUAAUUGCAAUCAGCGUCAGUAACAAAUUAAUAAUUACAACUUUCAACAACGGAUCUCUUGGUUCUGGCAUCGAUGAAGAACGCAGCGAAAUGCGAUAAGUAGUGUGAAUUGCAGAAUUCAGUGAAUCAUCGAAUCUUUGAACGCACAUUGCGCCCUUUGGUAUUCCAAAGGGCAUGCCUGUUCGAGCGUCAUUUGUACCCUCAAGCUUUGCUUGGUGUUGGGCGUCUUGUCUCUAGCUUUGCUGGAGACUCGCCUUAAAGUAAUUGGCAGCCGGCCUACUGGUUUCGGAGCGCAGCACAAGUCGCACUCUCUAUCAGCAAAGGUCUAGCAUCCAUUAAGCCUUUUUUUCAACUUUUGACCUCGGAUCAGGUAGGGAUACCCGCUGAACUUAAGCAUAUCA
Molecule: ribosomal RNA, 501 nt
Filed under: Alternaria sp.
Lineage: Eukaryota; Fungi; Ascomycota; Dothideomycetes; Pleosporales; Pleosporaceae
Description: eukaryotic LSU rRNA
Rfam family: 5.8S ribosomal RNA (bases 139-292)
Source: RNAcentral